UUUUGUAAGUACUAUAUUAUAAUAUAGGUAGUAUAAUAUCAAAUAAUAAUAUUAUUAUUGUGUUGUUGACAAUUUGACAAUUGUGGCACUGAAAUGCGCGUCAAUUACGGGAAAAAAAAUUGUCAUAGGUAUGUUCUAUAUUUUUUUCCGAAUACCUGUCACCUGAUUAUCGCGAACGCCGGCUGUAUCGCCAACUUGUUUAGUGCAGUUUGCCAGUUGCCGACUGCCGAGUCGGCCGAGUACCUGUGUUUCCUGUGAAGUGUCGAAUAAUAGUCGUGGACUAUGGUACGGGUAAUAAUUGUUUUCGUCGAUAUAAACUGUCGUUUGGUGAAUCAUGAUAUCGGAAUAUUCGUAUCGCAUUAAUUAUUGUGCCUAUUAUCUAUAAAACUGAAACUAUUGUAACUGUUAUACUUAUCAAAUUGUAUACCUACACGGCUACGCGUGGUUUGAAUCGUAUUUUAACAACCAUCAGCUAUAUAUUAUAGCACUGCACCGGCCGAUAAAUAAUAAUCCGAUUGAGCACACGCUUAUACAUAAAUAUUUACUCGUCUCACUUUCAGUUUGUACAUCGCUUGCACAAAAUCAUAUUAUUGUAAUGCAUGACAAAUUAUCUAAAACAAACACACACUUUUUUAAUUUUUUUUCCCACGCAUGAUCAUAACACAAUAAUAAUAAUAAUAAUAAUAUAUUUUUUGUUAUUUCGGAAAAAUAGCGAAUAGUAUUAUAUAAGUUAUAAUUAUUGUUAUUUCUGCGUUUUGACCGUCGCCAAAAAAUAGGAAUUCAUCGUCUGUUCAGAGCUGAAAAUAAUUUCAAAUUCUCAUCGCAAUAUGUAUCAGAGGUUUAUUGACGAUCCUUCUGCCGGUCCAUCGUCUACAGUAGCUAUGACCCCAGGCGAAUUAGAACCAUCAUCUCUUAAGUCGACUACAUCAAAAUCAUCGUGUGAAAAUAGGACAUCGGCGCAUAACUUUUUACAUGCGAAAAAAACGUCUGGCCGUAAAUAUACAGUUUCUAUUGUUCUCAUAUGUACCUAUUUGGCUUUUUUGUACUAUAGUUCUUAUGGCAAAACAAGAAAGAAAAGUAGAUGAUGUCCAUCAAGUAACAUUAGCUCCAAAUGAAACUAAAACUCAGAUAAUAUACAAAAACUAUAUGCCUAACCAGUGUUUGGAAGGAACGAGUUCCAAAAGGAACGGAUUCCUGGAACGAAUUCCUUUUUAAGGAACGGCACGUUGAACGAAUUCCUUUUUAUAAAAAAAGAACGAGAAAAUGAACGAGUUCUUUUUUUCAAGGAAAAAGAACGAAAUUUUUCGUUCCUUUCAAGUUCCAAUUUACACAGAUAUAUAAAUAAUUGAAAUUGAAAUAUUUUUUUUCUUAGUGUGUGUAUUUCCAAUAUUAUGAUCGUUAUCGAGUAUCCGAGUAUCAAACUUCAUCGUUAAAGUGUUAGUCCUUAAUCAUUAGGUGGGUAUUCUGGUAUAAUAUGUUAUAAUAUUCUAACAUUUUGUUCCAUUUAUAUUACAGUAAAACUUCCAUUCAACAAACUUCCAUUUCACAACAUUUUCUGUGUAACGAAAUAUUUUUGAAAACCAAAACCAAAUGUAUUCAAUUAUAUUUAACGAAAAUAUUCUAUAUAAUACAAAUUUUUUUUUAUGAUCAAUGAGACCUCGUAAUUUAUUUUUUUUUGUUAGAUUGUUUUGAGUUAGAAAUUCAUAAAAAAUUUUCUUUUUAAAUCUAAGAUUUGAAAAUGUAAUACAAGAUUCCUCAUAAGUUUGUCUACAUUUAUCAAAAAAAAAAUGUCUACAAGAAAGUCAAAUUAAAUUCUUAUGAACGUUUGAAAUAAAUAUUUUUACAACAUUUGAUAUUCACUCGAUUUCUCAUGUAACGAUUUUCUUAUUUUCUUGUAAUUAAAAAACGUACGACUGUAGAUACUUGAAAAUUUCACUGAAUGUUUUUAUUAGCAUUUUCUAUACACGAUAAAAUGUUGAAAAUAAUUUUACUCUUUUUGAGCUGUUUACGGACAUAGUCAGUUUUAAAUUUUUUUAGUUUUUUUUUCUAUAAAUAUCAAUAAAAUUUUAUUUGUUGGGUAAAAAGGCGUGAAAAUUUAAUAUAAGGUUCCUGAUAAUUAUAUCGUUCUAAUAGCAGUUGAAAAAUAUUAAAAAUACAUAGACACAAUUUUAUAAGCAUUUAAAGUUCAGAUUUUGACAAACUUUUAAUAAUAAAUUUAAUAAUUAUUUAGUAGCUAAAAAUUUAUAAAAUGUUCAACUUUUAUAGCUAAAGGAUUGAAAAUUUAAAACUAAGUUCCACGUAAAUAGGUUAUAUAUAAAUUACUUUAUUUACAAUAAUAUCAUUAAAAUAUACUUGGUAAUAUCAUAGGCUGAUUGACUGUUUUCGCUCAGAAUCGUUUUUUUUAUACAAUGAUAUUAUUAAUUUAAAUUUAACACCAUCCAUUACAUUGACCCACUUGUAACCUACUGUACAGCAGAGCGAUAUCCACUGACCCACCUUUUUUAGUUUUCUUUUCUAUAAAUAUCAAUAAAAUUUUAUUUAUGGAUAAAAAAGCUUGAAAAUUAAAUACAAGGCUCUUUACAUAUUGUUACAAAGAAAUUAGAAAAAUAUUAAAAAUCCAGUCACAAUUUUUUUUUAUAUCUAUUUAAAUUUCAAAUUUUGACAAGAAACGUAAAAAUCAUGAAAAUGUGCAAAUUAUUUUGAGUUAGAAAUUUUUUGUUUUAAAAUGUUGAACAUUCUUUGGAUGACAAAAUGUACGUACCUACUAUUAAUUUAUUAUUACAUUUACUUACUAUUUAAUUGCAAUUUUUAUAUUAGGUAUGUUACAGAACACGUGUAUUAUAGUAAUAAACUAAAAAACAUACAUACGUAUUAUAACAAAUAACUAAUAUUAUGCUACUAGUACCUAUGUUACAAUAGCCACUAGGGUAUGGUUGUGGGUACGACGAGUAGUACACCUGUGUACCUACAAACAGUUUCUGUAUUGCAAAAACUUUCCUGGUUUAAAUUAUUAAAUUGUAUGGUUAUUGAUACCUGCUAGUACAGAAAAAAUAUGUCAUGAUCAAAUAUACAAAUUUAAAACUUCUUCCAAUCAAAAAUGUUAAUUACACGAGAUGAAUUAUUCUAGAAUUGAUUUAAAAAUAUCAAAAAUUGGAUAUAAAUAAUAAAAUUGCAAUUUUCAGCAUUAAAUGUAAUUGUUUUACAAUGCAAUUUAUUAAAAUAUGAAUUUAAUUGUAUAACAAUAACAAUACAAUAAACAAUUCAUAGUGUUAGUUUUAUAAGUGUACAAAAAUAAUAUACUAUCAUAAUAUUUUAUUUUUAUACAUUAUAGUAUUAUACACCGAUACAUAUUAUUACAAUGAAUGGAUCAAACAUACCUACACAUAAUAAUGUACCACAGUUAAGAGGCCUCGCGCCCUCGCUACUGUCGUCAAUUUGAGCUCAAAAGACCGUAAGUUGUAACAAAAUUAAAGUUAGUUUUCGUCGUCCGAUUUUUAUUCUGAAAAACCCGAACUCGCCAGAAAAUUGUCUAUGGAUUGUACGGAACACUUUGUAAAAAUUAAAACUUAUAUUAUAGUAAACUGUAAUUGAUGCAUGUAAAUGUUGCCCCUCAAAUAUUAGCCGUAACGAGGCCAUUUAACGAAAUUAAUAAUAAUAUUAUCAUUACUAGGGUUCGGAUUUAAAGGCAACUCGGAAGAUACUCGGCAGUCGAACGUGGACGUCUAGCCAUAGUUUGGGCGGUAGACAGGUUCAGGCCGUAUCUUGAGUCCGGUAAGUUUAUGUUAUUUACGGAUAACGCGGCACUCCGAUGGUUACAGCAAGCUCGCUGUACCAACAGCAAACUAACGCGAUGGGCGUUACAACUCGGGGCUUUCGAUUUUGAAAUCCGGCACGUUCCCGGGACAGAAAAUGAAGCAGCCGACGUCAGCUAUCCCGUUGUCCGGUAGGACCGAAUAUGGUGGACGAAGAGUCGUUGGUGAAUAAUAUCCACGAUCCUCCGGUCAUGAUUCGGACUGGAAGGUGUCCGGAACCUUUGGUGAUCUGUCCGGAGUGUCCAGUGUGGGGCGAUCCAGCCGAAGAAGGACGAUGGACACGUAUCAUUGCAAGAUAUCCGAGAGUGGCAACAGAACAACCCGAACAUACGGCAGAUAGUUGCUAAACUCUGGCCGUGGAUUUUCGGGUCGUUCUGUUGCCACUUUCGGAUAUCUUGCAAUGAUAUGUGUGGCCGUGGUGGAGCGGUGGAUCCAGGCCAUGGAGGUGACACCCGGCCAUCCUCCCAGUGGAUUAGCCCUGUUGCUCGGGCGAGUCUCGCGAACUUGGGGGGGGGGGGGAGUAUGUCGCGGUCGUUAUAUCGCAACGUCCGCGGCGCGGCGUCUCUAUCGACGUCCGCGAGAUCGCGACCGACAACCGACAACGGUGAACGGCUGUGAUAGCUUUUGCCUGACCGUCGUCGUCGCAACAACGCUGUAAUUGUCAUUGUCACAUAUAUUAUUUUUAUGAUCUAUACCAAUAAAAGUUGUGUCAACGUUAAAGCGUGUCGUUAGUGUGAGUACAUUCUGUCCAGACCGUUUCAACACCUACAAGUAAGUAUACAAUUUAAAAAGCAAACGUAUUUUUUUUUUUAAAUUAGUGUAAUUGAUUAUUACACUUAUAUAUCAAAGCAAAUGUUUUUAAGCUUAAUGUUAUAAGUCAAUUUGAUUUCAGAUAAUCAGCUUUCAAAGGAGAUAACGCCCAAUUCUAUACAAGCUCUCCAAAAGAAAGAUGUGGUCUAAUGCAUCAGAGGGACAAGGAUAUAUAAUGAUGAAAGGCAGGGGUAAAGCGGGGUGAUGGAACUUUGUUGAAAGGAUCAAUCGAUCAAUGACAAAUAUAGCGAGGGGAAAGAUACCAAUAGAAAUAGACUUUGGAAAAGAUGGAAAGACAGUAUCAAGGAAUUAUUAGAAUACAUUUUAGUAGACUGGGAGUAGGCAUAUGAUUAAGUUUAAAGUAAGCGGCAGGGUCUAACCGGCUCUUAAAGAAAAAAAAAAUAUAAAAAUAUUAGUAUUUAUAAUAGGUAAGUACCUAAUAUUAUUAAUAUACAAUAUAUUAUGUUGAAUUAUGUUCUGUCGAAAAUAUUGUAUUUAUUUUAGUAUGAUUUACUAUAGUAGUAUGUAAUUAUAAUUAGAAUAGUGUUAAUACAAUACAAUGUGAUGUAAUAUUAUACUAUACAGUUUAAUUUAUAUUUAUCUUAAAAUGAUUAAACAAAAUAUUUAAUUUUCUUCAACUUCUUGUUAAACAUACUCUUCAAUAUUAAAAAAUUUGGAAAGUGAAGUUUUAUAUUUAUCUAUUGUAAUAAUAGCAUCACAAAAGGGUUUAACCGCUUUAGCCUUGGCUGAUUCUGCGAAAUAUAUUAGUAUUAGAAAUGUUGAGUGUGUUAAUUAGAAUGCCCUUCCACAGACACGUACAGAACUUGGUUUGUGUGCGUUUGUAAGGAGUAAUAUUUAGCCCACAAACCAGGCUAAAGUUUAAAAAUAAAUAAAAAAUAUGAAAUGCAAAACGCAUAAUACACAAUACUAAAUAUAUAUACAUACUCGAUAUGCCAAACAAAAAUGUUUUUAUUGACUUUAAAACAUCUAUAAAAAUAAAAUGUCAAAUAUUCAAUAAAUGAAAUAAAUAAUACAUCUGAUAAAAAAAUUGAUUGAAUCUCAACAUUUAUUCCAAUGACAUGUACAGCACUUAUAUCUUAAUUAUGUUGCUGUUGACGUACCUAUACUUUUAGUAAUAAUUAAUGACGUAUCAAUAAAAUUGAAAUAAAAAAAAAUUAAAACUUAUUGUGUUUCUAUAUUUCAACAACAAACUAAACAUAUUUAUAUUUUUUUAACGUUGACAGGUAACUAUUUAAUGGAGUGGAUUAUUAGUCCUAACAAUCUCUGCAUAUGUAUAUCCAUAAUAUGGCUAUAGGUACCCAAAAUUCAAGUUUCAACAUAUCAUUAGAAUUAAUUUAAAUGACAAUGUAUUUUGGGUUUUGACCUAUGAACCUAAAGAGAAAUAAAUAGAACAUUUGCCUUGGACCUUUAGCAGCACUAAAAUUGCAAUGUCCAACUUUGAGAUUAUAUUCUAGUAGCUUAUCAGACAAAGUAGGUACUGAAGUAGGUUCAACAGACGUGAGCUCAUGUUGAUGGUGGAAUCAAUCAUGAGCACAAAAGAAGCGGACGAACGGGAGGAGCAGCUGCACGACUGACGUCAGCCGCACGAUGAAGAACGGCUCGUAGACACAUUUCGAUUUCGUAACAGCGAUACGUCGGAGGUGUCACCGACCACCGUUCUUCAUCCCCCACGAUGACACCACGGGAGGGAUCUAGACCACACCGGAUGUCUGGAUAGGACGAACGAGAUGACCAGGGCGGCGGACUCCGGUCGGCCCUAGAAGCCAAGGAAGGCGCUGAAGUCUUUAAAACUAAUAAAUACUAUAAAUGUCAUGUUUUAGGGGGGGGGUAAGUCGGGGUAUUGUCCCGUCUACCUCCCCCGUAUGUAUAAUAUAUUUGUUUUCAAAUAAACGAUGGCGGCGUCGCGGAAGCAUUGCGAAAGCAGUUCCCGCGGCGUCGUCGGUUCAAA
RNA transcript from Metopolophium dirhodum (rose-grain aphid), 6591 nucleotides. RefSeq lists it as uncharacterized. The transcript is spliced from 5 exons. The record is from RefSeq and is a predicted model, not a curated record. Lineage: Eukaryota; Metazoa; Arthropoda; Insecta; Hemiptera; Aphididae.